CUAUCCCAGGGCAAUUUUCCACCUUUGAAGUCCCCGGAAAGCCCUGCCAAGAGCUGUUCUGGUUUGAGGAGGCUGCUGGGGCAGGCAGCCGGUGCCGUUGCCUCAGAGGGUGCCAGAACUGGAACAUCAAGACAUCAAAAGCGAAGGUGGCAGUGGAGCGAUGAGUAAGCUCAGCUGCAGACUUUGCCCUGGCUCAGAGGCCUUCUCCCGGCCUCCCAGCCGGCGGUGGAGCCGGAGCAGGGAGCUCAGCUCAGACAGCCUGGAGACCUGCCUGGGAGGAAGCCUGUGGAUGCUUCCAGGGCAUUGCCCUGUGUCCCCGCACCUUGCGAAGGGUGCUGAUCACUCGGAGAGCCCCCAGGCUUUGAAGCAUCGGUGGGAAAGAUGCUCCAUGGCGGUUUGCAGCUGUGAGACCUCGAAUCCAACGCACUCGCUGGGGCCUCGAGGAAGGGAAGCAUUUAUGGGCUGCCCCCAUCUUCCAGGGAGUGUGGUAAGCCCUUUCCAUCCAUCAUUGCAUUUCAUCCGCACAACACCACCAAGAGUUGGGUACUAUUAUUACCACCAUUUAACAGGUGGGAAAACUGAAGCGCAAGGAGAUGGAGAAAUGUGUGUUCAAUCACGCAGCUCGGGGCGGAGCUGGAAUUCACACCUGGGACUGACUCCAAAGUUAUUGCGUCUGCACCAUGUGGACCACAAAAGCUGUUGCCCCUUAAAAAAGCCUCUUGAUUCCAAUAAGGUAAACAAACAACAAAUAGACAAACAAAGGUAGAGUCUUCGAAAGCUGAGCCAGCAGCCAAUCUACUGAGCAUAUCAUCAUUUGGGGGGACAGCGAGGAGAGGAGCAGAGAACACCUUUCACAGCUCGUUCACAGCAACAGCCACGCAGGAUGACUCUGACAGUCGUGGAGUAACCAAGGCCUGGAAUGGAUUCAGUUUUGUUAUUCUCAAAACUGUGUUUCUUUGCGUGAGUUGCUUCACCCAAAUCUCUGAGCCUCAGUUUCCCUAUCUGGAAAUCUUGUCAGAUAGUCUUUAAGACGAUUCUAGUUCAAACAUUCUGUGAGUCCUGUGCCUGGUAGACACUAAGUGGAAAGAAGGGAGGGAGGCAAGGAGGAAGAAAUCAAUCCAUCUCUGCAGAUCUGCCUUUCAUAGAGGCAAGGCUGAGUGUAUUUUCCAUCAUUUGCAUUUCUACCUCCAAGGACACUGCCUCUCUCUAAUGAGUAUAUGCUCUGAAUUAAAUUGUUGAUCAUUUUAAUAAGCCCUGCCUCACCCUCCCACUGAAAUGCCACUUUUUAGCCUGUGUUGUCACCAAAGAAAAUAAGUCAAUUAGAGGACCUUAACAAGACUGCUUCUGAAAAGAACAUGGAAACUGUCAGUUGCAGUCAGUUAGACCUGUAGGCUGCGUGGGUGGAUUUCCAGAUAGGAAAAGAAUGGGAAAAGCCAGCAGGCUCCUCAUCUCUGAGAAGAAAGCCUUUGACAGUGACACCCAAGAUGUGUCACAGCAUCUAGCUGUCUCUCUGGGGAAGUUGGGGUGUUCAGCCCUGGCCUAACCUGUAAGAUUCUUUCCCCACCAAAAGGAGCAAAAUCCGAAUGCCUUGCUCCUUGCCACUGGAUAGGAGAGCCAGAAGUCACAGCAAAAUCAUGGCACUACAAGGCCGUGAAAUAACUGGAGAUACUGUUCUUGAGAAAGAGUCUGGAGACAGACACACACACGGAGGAUGCCACGUGGGGAGGCAGAGAUUGGAGUGAUGCUUCUAUAAGUCCAGGAAUGUCAAAGAUGGCCAGCAAACCACCAGAAGAACCUCACAAAGAACCGAUGCCGCUGACACCUUGACCUCAGACUUCCAGCCUGCAGAGCUGUGAGACGACGCCUUUUGUUGCCUAAGCCACUCAGUUGUGGAGCUUUGUUAUGGCACCCCUCACAAUCUUCUCCACCCCACCCCACCCCUACAGAGGAGACAACGGGGUUAAGGGAGCUUUGCUUCUCCAGGACCCCUGCCCCCGGGCGCUCUCCCCCUGCACCCUCUCGGCUCCCAAAGUGCCCUGGAAGAGCAAAUUCUUCUCCACAUUCGUUACAGAGCAGCUUCUCACAGCCUCUGAGGACUUGGCACCUGAUGCCACCUAGCUCCUUGGGAAAGUCUCCUUCUUCCCAAACUCUUU
RNAcentral lists this long non-coding RNA (2153 nucleotides) under Equus caballus (horse). Its description in RNAcentral is "lncRNA (ENSECAG00000059852.1)". Lineage: Eukaryota; Metazoa; Chordata; Mammalia; Perissodactyla; Equidae. The record is from RNAcentral.